Molecule: long non-coding RNA, 587 nt
Organism: Eptesicus fuscus (big brown bat)
Lineage: Eukaryota; Metazoa; Chordata; Mammalia; Chiroptera; Vespertilionidae
Exons: 3
Source: RefSeq, a predicted model, not a curated record
GUCCCAAAGGCCACCACUCUGCCCGGUGACUGAGGAUGGGGCACUUGGCUUAUCAUCGCUUCUCUACCACAUCCAAGGCGACACCCAGCCCGACGCCCGCGGCGCCCAGCCCGUCCCUGGAACCCCAGCCAGGCAUGCCAUUCCCGAGGCGCCUCCUCUUCAUCCACGAUGCGGGGCCUCUUGUCCGGCUACUCUGAGGUGUGAGCCUCAGCCCAGCAAAUGCAGGAGGAUCAACUUAACAUUCAGAAAAGAAGCCAGUUACAAAAUCCAUGGCGAGAUCAAGAGAUUUCCUACCUGCUCCAGACAUAACCAUCCGGAAAGUACAAUGGGGAGAAAGGCAUCAUGGUUGCAUAGUUGGAGCCCAAAAUAACUAAGAAGUAACUUUAAAAGGAACAUGCAGCCGUGGCCGGGGUGCUCACUUGGUUAGAGCGUCGUCCCCAUAUGGCAAGACUGUGGGUUCUAUCCCCCAGACAGGGCACAUAUAAGAAUCAACCAAUGAAUGAAUUUAUCAAGUAGAACAACAAAUUGAUGCCUCUCUUUCUCUCCCUUUCUCUCUCUGAAGUCAAUCAAUAAAAAAUAAAAAGACA